RNA transcript from Diospyros lotus (date-plum), 1663 nucleotides. It is a transcript of the gene named protein CDC73 homolog, with no coding region annotated. The record is from RefSeq and is a predicted model, not a curated record. NCBI's taxonomy places the organism in Eukaryota, Viridiplantae, Streptophyta, Magnoliopsida, Ericales, Ebenaceae. The transcript is spliced from 5 exons.
UGAAAUAAAAUAGGAGGAAGUCUUCUCUUCAUUACCGGCGGCGGCCGAGGAGAUAGAUUCAGUGACACUCUUUCUUCUUCUCUCUCUCCACGAUGGAUCCGCUAUCUGCUCUGCGAGACUACACAAUCCGGAACGAGCUAGACAAGAUCGUCCGGGUGGGCGAUGAGUUUCGCUUCGGCGGCGAGUACGCCUUCCCGUGCGGCGUCGCCACCGCCUACCGCUCCAAGCAAGGCAGCCUCUACACCCUUGAAACCCUCGUACACUUCGUCAAGAAUCACCACCUCAAGCACACCGAGUACAUGCACCACGCCCGUCUCCACAACCUCCCCUCGGUCGUCACCUUCAUCGACCGCAAGCCCCUGCUUGACUACCUCCAAGGCAAGGUUUCCUCCUCCGAUUCCAUCCAGUUCCUCGCCCCUCCAAACCCUAAUCCUCCUAAAAUCCCGGACGAGUACCGCCCCGAGGACCCCGCCUUGCUCCCCCCGCAAGAAUUCGGCAUUAAUUUGAACGACGACGCGUUUAGGGUUCCCGAGAAUUACAUCUCGAUGAUUCGUUCGAUGGAGAGGCCGUUGAAGGACCGCGAGACGAUGCUGGAGUGUCGGAAUCGGAACUUCUACGGGGUCUGGAUGGCGGCCACGAAGCGGGACGAGGAGCGGCAGCGGGCGGAGGCGCAGCAGCGGAAGGACGGGCUGGUGGCGAAGAGUCGGCUGAUGAGGGGCGACGAGAGAGGCUUCGGGGACGAAAUGGGGUACGAUUCGAAGCCGAAAAUGCUCUUGAAAGGUAGCAAAAUUGGGGAGGGCGUUCCGAUCAUUUUGGUGCCGAGUGCGUUUCAGACCCUGAUCACGAUACACAAUGUGAAGGAGUUUUUGGAGGAUGGAGUGUUUAUUCCAACGGAUGUGAAGGUGAAGCAGAUGAAGGGGCCGAAGCCGGACUGUGUUACUGUGCAGAAAAAGUUCAGUAGAGACCGGGUGGUGACGGCCUACGAGGUGAGGGAUAAGCCGUCGGCGUUGAAGGCAGAGGACUGGGAUCGGGUGGUGGCGGUUUUUGUGUUGGGGAAGGAGUGGCAGUUCAAGGACUGGCCUUUCAAGGACCACGUUGAGAUCUUCAACAAAAUUCUUGGGUUUUUCAUGCGGUUUGAGGAUGAUAGCCUGGAGUCAGCAAGGACUGUUAAGCAAUGGAAUGUGAAAAUCAUUUCAAUUAGCAAGAACAAACGGCACCAGGAUAGAGCUGCAGCACUUGAGGUUUGGGACAAAUUGGAACAGUUCAUGCGCUCAAGGUCACGUGGUUGAGAAAGGGUUCUGCAAUGCUUGGAUUGGGAGGUCAUGAUGGACUGAAGAUCACCAUGAAUUGAUGCAUGGUGACCACAGCGGCAAAGAUGUUCUUUUUGAUCUGUUCAUGUUCCCCAGCAUCUGGAUGUUUCUUUGCCAGAAAAGGUAACAAGAUAUGCAGUUGUUUUGAAGCAGCAAAAGGCAAGAAGUGAACCUGUUGACCUCGAUGCAAGCAUGCAAAAAUGAAGAUCAACAAGGAUGCUGCUGUGCAGAGAGAGAUGAGUUAAAGUUAGUGGUUGCAGUUUACCUCAUUAACACUGAUGUUGUAGGUUUGUAUUUGAUGCAGCAGCUCUUCUUAACAAAAGAAGACAUUUUUAUGGAUCAUUUUACUUUUA